This 86-nucleotide transfer RNA is filed under the name Felis catus (domestic cat). It matches the Rfam family "tRNA". Rfam says of the family: Transfer RNA (tRNA) molecules are approximately 80 nucleotides in length. Lineage: Eukaryota; Metazoa; Chordata; Mammalia; Carnivora; Felidae. The record is from Rfam by way of RNAcentral.
GCCUAGGUGGCUCAGUCGGUUAAGCUUCUGACUUGAUUUUGGCUCAGGUCAUGAUCUCAAUGUGGGUUCGAGCCCUGCUUUAGGCU